RNAcentral lists this long non-coding RNA (296 nucleotides) under Pan troglodytes (chimpanzee). Its description in RNAcentral is "long non-coding RNA NONPTRT002790". The record is from RNAcentral. Lineage: Eukaryota; Metazoa; Chordata; Mammalia; Primates; Hominidae.
AGCUUGGAUGGAGAAACUUUACAGAGGUUUCAGCCAAACACUCAUGAAUUCUUUAAUGUGUGAAAUAAAUUUGUACAACGAAAGGCUAAAAAUUUGGGAGAUGCAGGAUGACUGAAGCCCGAUUCUGGGGGUUGUUACAGCACAGUUACAGGAUAUCAUAGUGCCUCAGAUCCCCUUUCAAGACUGAAAGACUUUCUACUCCAGAUGCCAUUGGCUGAAGACAGCUUCUAUUCAAACAGGGAAAUGGCCUGUCUGCAACAUGCAGCCUUUAUUCUUACCUGCAUGGCAUACUCCUU